UCUAGAAACAUGUCAAGCAGAGAAUCGUCACCCACCCGUAUACGUGCCCCUUUUUAAGCCUGCACUGACCCUUCCAGAAGUUCCAUGACUUCCAGACCUUAACUGACCCAAAUCUACCCUCUUCUCAAUCUCUCUGAAGUUAAAGGGGAAAAAUGAGUAGCCGAUCGAGUCGUACUAUCUACGUGGGGAAUCUGCCUGGAGAUAUUCGUAUGAGAGAAAUUGAAGAUUUAUUCAUGAAGUAUGGACCGAUUGUUGACAUUGAUCUUAAGAUCCCUCCCAGACCACCGGGUUAUGCUUUUAUUGAGUUUGAAGAUCCACGUGAUGCUGAUGAUGCGAUUUAUGGCCGGGAUGGUUGCAACUUUGACGGGUAUCGCUUACGGGUUGAACUAGCACAUGGUAGACGUGGAUAUUCAUCAUCAGCAGAUCGAUUCAGCAGUUACAGUCGUAGUAGCAGUAGCCGUGGAGCUUCCCGCCAUUCUGACUAUCGUGUGCUGGUCACUGGAUUACCUGCUUCUGCUUCAUGGCAGGAUCUGAAGGAUCACAUGCGUCAAGCUGGAGAUGUUUGUUUUUCGCAAGUGUUCCGUGACCGCCGUGUUCUUGUGAUUAAUACUAUUGUAGGCAUGACAGGAGUUGUAGACUACACAAAUUACGAUGACAUGAAAUAUGCGAUCAGGAAAUUGGAUGAUUCUGAAUUUAGAAAUGCUUUUUCUCGGUCCUACAUACGGGUCGAGGAAUAUGAUUCUAGUCGUGGGUAUUCCAGAAGCCCCAGUUAUGACUCAAGGCAGAGCUACUCUAGAAGUCCCAGUCGUAGUCCAUAUGUGUCGAGAAGUCGCAGUCGCAGCCGUAGCUUUGGGGGCCAGAGCAGAAGCAUAUCACCGGAUGUGGAAUAUUCCCGCCGCUCUCCUAGGUCUGCCUCACCUUUCCCUUCAAGAUUGGCUCCUGUGGAGGUGUCCUAGGACUGGAUCUUAGGAACUUGACGGGAAGUGGUGUUGAUGCCUGCAACUCCUUAGGUUCAGGUAACACCAAUUUGUUAAUGAGCACCUAUGAAAAAAAAAGGACAAUAUUUCUAUUGAGUAUCAGUUCUAACAAUCGUUACUGUGAGUUGGUGCUAUAUAGCUAUGAAUAAAAAGUCGGUGGUGCAGAUUUUGUUAAUUUGCAAUUAGGAUUGUGGGUCGAUGAUCUCUCUCUGGUUUAUGAUUGGAUGUUGUAUUAUGCUGGUGUUUUUAUUUCUUACUGUUUUAGUUGGUUCAACUUAUAAGACUGCUGGAAAGAUCAUGAGAUGCUGGCUUUAAAAACUUUGAGGCUAAAGGUCUAUGAUUUUACUGUUUCAUUCCCCUCCAUUUAUGGUUAGUCAUUUCAGGACCUUGGGUCAGAGGGUAUACUGUUAUUGAGAUUGAUUUGGAUUUUCACAUUAUUGCAGAUCUCUGUCAAGAUCUAGAUCUCCAGUUCGUUCUCCUUAUUAUGGAACUCUCUGCAGGUCACCAUCAAGAUCCAGAAGCUUAUCCCGUUAGCUUGGUGACAUGCAUAUGUGCCAAGUGCCUUCUCAGUCCUUUUGGUGAACUGGACACC
Molecule: RNA transcript, 1569 nt
Organism: Rosa chinensis
Lineage: Eukaryota; Viridiplantae; Streptophyta; Magnoliopsida; Rosales; Rosaceae
Gene name: serine/arginine-rich splicing factor SR30
Exons: 14
Source: RefSeq, a predicted model, not a curated record